RNAcentral lists this long non-coding RNA (1096 nucleotides) under Monodelphis domestica (gray short-tailed opossum). RNAcentral's name for it is "lncRNA (ENSMODG00000033956.2)". The record is from RNAcentral. Lineage: Eukaryota; Metazoa; Chordata; Mammalia; Didelphimorphia; Didelphidae.
UCCAAGGCCUUUCUAGAGAUAAAAAUCCUCUGCCUCAAGGUUGGGUUCCCCUACAUAGAACAGGCACAAGGAGUCCCUGGAAUCUCCAAGGACAGACAUGUCAGUUUGUAUUCAGUUGUCAGCUAUCAGAGGUCUCUCCCUCCCCUACCCUGACUGAUCUUCCCUGUACUACAUCCUAGGGUGCUGCUUGCAUUCUCCCCUCAGUGGGUCAUUUCCACAGUGCCCAAGGCCUAAUUCAUUUUCCCUGACUCAUCUGUACCCCAGCUGUCCAGAGAAUCAUAAAAUGUUAGUGCUGGAAGGAACUUUGGAGAUUAUUUCAUCUUUCAUUUUAUAGAUGAAAAACCUGAGACCCAAGAGAGGAAGUGACUUAUAUAGGGUCACACAUGAUCAAGACUUCUGACUAUUUCUAGCAUAUACUACUCCUCUAUGUAAUGUACAUUUUAAAAAAACAAUUACACUUUUUUUUCAAAUUUAUUUCUUAAAUUUUGAGUCCCUACCCCAUCCACUGAAAAAAUAAGCAAUGUUAUAUCCACUAUAGAAUGUAUUUGAUGAGGUCCUGGUUAGUAGCCCAUUAGAGGGAUUAGACUCAAGGGAAGGGAGGCCAUCUCCAUAGUCAAAAUGCCUUAGCUAUCAAUUGAUUCCAAGAAGCCAGGGCUUGAGGAGGAAGGAGAGACAGUAGGGGAAAUUUGGACAGAGGCUCCUUUGAGGGGACCCUGGAUGGGGAAAGCAGAUGAUAGGGGGCUGAGAAAAGAUCCCGAGUUGGAGAUUUAGUUAUAUAAUAUUCUCUACCUCCUCCAGGCUAAAGAAAAAGGAGUGAUGGUGCUCUGGGAACUAAGUGGAACCAGCACGUCCAGGAAGGAGAGAAUGGGACAUGAGAAAUUUUGCCGGCAAACCUGCCAUAUCUCACUGGUCUGGGCACCUCUCCAGCCUCCCCAAAGGGCAGAGUCUAUCUGCUACUGCCCUGGGUUGGGGGCAAGAGCUGGAGGUUCCUGGGGCUAAGCACACUUGCCUGGGAGUUUUGGGCAAACCUAGUGGGGAGAGAUUACCUCAUGCUGUUGGAAAUCCAGGCCCCUGCUCUCACUCUAAAGCUGUGUUC